This 442-nucleotide long non-coding RNA is filed under the name Salvia miltiorrhiza (redroot sage). Its description in RNAcentral is "long non-coding RNA (SMIL_LNC002103)". Lineage: Eukaryota; Viridiplantae; Streptophyta; Magnoliopsida; Lamiales; Lamiaceae. The record is from RNAcentral.
UGAAAUGGAGGAGGACGUGUUAUCACAAGGACUAAUUCAGCUGACGUUUCACAGUGAUUUUGGUUAAGGGUUCCUCUAAGUCGGGCUGGCGACUUUAAAACUAGCGCUUGGUGGGAGGCAACCCACUGUUGGUUUGGUUUUAGUUUUUGUUUUUCUUGUUCUUUGCUUUCCGUUUUUUUUGUGUUUUUCUUGUCUUUUGUUGCUUGUGCGGUUGCUUUGAUUCUAGGUGUUCAUGUUUUUGUUUCCAGCGCUGCAUUUCUACUCUGACUUUGCCGCCAGCGCUGAAAAGUCCAGAACCAGAACUGAAAUUCCACUCUGAAAGGACCAGCGCUGACAUUUCUACUCUGCCGAAGACCGCAAACCCUACUUUUUGCCGCCUCUCACAGAGCUUCUGCUUUUCAUUGCCGAUAAUCAGGGACGUUUUUCUAACUCUCUUUAUUUU